Molecule: ribosomal RNA, 433 nt
Filed under: uncultured bacterium
Lineage: Bacteria
Description: partial 16S ribosomal RNA
Rfam family: Bacterial small subunit ribosomal RNA
Source: RNAcentral
AACGAACGCUGGCGGCAUGCCUAACACAUGCAAGUCGAACGAGACCUUCGGGUCUAGUGGCGCACGGGUGCGUAACGCGUGGGAACCUGCCCUUAGGUUCGGAAUAACUCCCCGAAAGGGGUGCUAAUACCGGAUAAUGUCUUCGGACCAAAGGUUUAUCGCCUUUGGAUGGGCCCGCGUUGGAUUAGCUAGUUGGUAGGGUAAAAGCCUACCAAGGCGACGAUCCAUAGCUGGUCUGAGAGGAUGAUCAGCCACACUGGGACUGAGACACGGCCCAGACUCCUACGGGAGGCAGCAGUGGGGAAUAUUGGACAAUGGGCGAAAGCCUGAUCCAGCAAUGCCGCGUGAGUGAUGUAGGCCUUAGGGUUGUAAAGCUCUUUUACCCGGGAUGAUAAUGACAGUACCGGGAGAAUAAGCUCCGGCUAACUCCGUG